This 464-nucleotide ribosomal RNA is filed under the name uncultured bacterium. Its description in RNAcentral is "partial 16S ribosomal RNA". It matches the Rfam family "Bacterial small subunit ribosomal RNA", at positions 28 to 507 of the family's 1533-position model. The record is from RNAcentral.
GACGAACGCUGGCGGCGUGCUUAACGCAUGCAAGUCGAACGGAAAGGCCCCUUUGGGGGUACUCGAGUGGCGAACGGGUGAGUAACACGUGAGUAACCUGCCCUUGACUUCGGGAUAACUUCAGGAAACUGGGGCUAAUACCGGAUAGGAAUCCUUGCUGCAUGGUGGGGGUUGGAAAGCUUCGGCGGUUUUGGAUGGACUCGCGGCUUAUCAGCUUGUUGGUGGGGUAGUGGCUUACCAAGGCUUUGACGGGUAGCCGGCCUGAGAGGGCGACCGGCCACAUUGGGACUGAGAUACGGCCCAGACUCCUACGGGAGGCAGCAGUGGGGAAUAUUGCACAAUGGGCGGAAGCCUGAUGCAGCAACGCCGCGUGCGGGAUGACGGCCUUCGGGUUGUAAACCGCUUUCAGCAGGGGCGAAGCUUUUGUGACGGUACCUGCAGAAGAAGCACCGGCUAACUACGUG